Small nucleolar RNA from Abrus precatorius (Indian licorice), 92 nucleotides. RefSeq annotates it as small nucleolar RNA R32/R81/Z41. The transcript has a single exon. NCBI's taxonomy places the organism in Eukaryota, Viridiplantae, Streptophyta, Magnoliopsida, Fabales, Fabaceae. The record is from RefSeq and is a predicted model, not a curated record.
AGGUGAAGAUGAUGAAAGCCAAAUACGAAACGAGUGAUUAUCACAUUUGAUAUGAUCCAAUUUUUCAUCGCUACGUUCUUUCUGAUUCGCCU